ACCAGUGCGAGAGGCAGGCGCCAAGUAAACGUAAACACCCCGUUUCACGGGGCAUUGCUCCUUAUCGCUUGUUGAGCGCUUUGUGUCACGUGUUUUGUGCAAAAAAGGACUACCGCAUCGUACGCAGUUUGGCCCUACAGUUCUCACUAUGACGCAGAAUUGCCGUUCAUAUUUAGAAGAUCCAGAACACUUAUUCCGGGGUCCAGAAUCGGCGUACGAAGUGUUUGUAAGCAAACACCUGCAAGGUCUGCGGUGUAGAACCUGCUACACUCGAGCAAGUGCUCCGGGGACGUGAGGCAGAUACUGAGGGCACCAAUCCCGAUGUCCUCUCGGCGAGGUGGGCCGAUGCCCUGCACAGCUCGGAGCUCGCCGACCAAAUCUGGGCCGUCCAAGCAGGCGCGCGAAGCGGCGUCUAGGCAAGGCCUGGACGUCUUGACGUGGGACACCUGAGCCCGGGUCAUCAAACUGCAGCAUACUCAAUAAAUGUUUUUUUACAAACCAAC
Long non-coding RNA from Rhipicephalus sanguineus (brown dog tick), 503 nucleotides. RefSeq lists it as uncharacterized. The transcript has 3 exons. Lineage: Eukaryota; Metazoa; Arthropoda; Arachnida; Ixodida; Ixodidae. The record is from RefSeq and is a predicted model, not a curated record.